RNAcentral lists this ribosomal RNA (497 nucleotides) under Theileria ovis. RNAcentral describes it as "SSU rRNA". It matches the Rfam family "Eukaryotic small subunit ribosomal RNA", at positions 509 to 1039 of the family's 1831-position model. Lineage: Eukaryota; Apicomplexa; Aconoidasida; Piroplasmida; Theileriidae. The record is from RNAcentral.
UUGGAAUGAUGGGAAUUUAAACCUCUUCCAGAGUAUCAAUUGGAGGGCAAGUCUGGUGCCAGCAGCCGCGGUAAUUCCAGCUCCAAUAGCGUAUAUUAAAAUUGUUGCAGUUAAAAAGCUCGUAGUUGAAUUUCUGCUGCAUUGCUUUUGCUCCUUUACGAGUCUUUGCAUUGUGGCUUAUUUCGGACUUUGUUUUACAAUGUCCGGAUGUUUACUUUGAGAAAAUUAGAGUGCUCAAAGCAGGCUUUCGCCUUGAAUAGUUUAGCAUGGAAUAAUAAAGUAGGACUUUGGUUCUAUUUUGUUGGUUUUAGGUACCAAAGUAAUGGUUAAUAGGAACAGUUGGGGGCAUUCGUAUUUAACUGUCAGAGGUGAAAUUCUUAGAUUUGUUAAAGACGAACUACUGCGAAAGCAUUUGCCAAGGAUGUUUUCAUUAAUCAAGAACGAAAGUUAGGGGAUCGAAGACGAUCAGAUACCGUCGUAGUCCUAACCAUAAACUA